Molecule: ribosomal RNA, 689 nt
Filed under: uncultured Microbacteriaceae bacterium
Lineage: Bacteria; Bacillati; Actinomycetota; Actinomycetes; Micrococcales; Microbacteriaceae
Description: bacterial SSU rRNA
Rfam family: Bacterial small subunit ribosomal RNA
Source: RNAcentral
GUGGCGAACGGGUGAGUAACACGUGAGCAAUCUGCCCUUGACUCUGGGAUAACUGCGGGAAACUGUAGCUAAUACCGGAUACUUUCCUCGCUGGGCAUCCAGCGGGGAAGAAAGAAUUUCGGUCAAGGAUGAGCUCGCGGCCUAUCAGCUAGUUGGUGAGGUAAUGGCUCACCAAGGCGACGACGGGUAGCCGGCCUGAGAGGGUGACCGGCCACACUGGAACUGAGACACGGUCCAGACUCCUACGGGAGGCAGCAGUGGGGAAUAUUGCACAAUGGGCGAAAGCCUGAUGCAGCAGCGCCGCGUGAGGGAUGAAGGCCUUCGGGUUGUAAACCUCUUUUAGCAGGGAAGAAGCGAAAGUGACGGUACCUGCAGAAAAAGCACCGGCUAACUACGUGCCAGCAGCCGCGGUAAUACGUAGGGUGCAAGCGUUGUCCGGAAUUAUUGGGCGUAAAGAGCCCGUAGGCGGUUUGUCACGUCUGCUGUGAAAAUCCGAGGCUCAACCUCGGACUUGCAGUGGGUACGGGCAGGCUAGAGUGCGGUAGGGGAGAAGGGAAUUCCUGGUGUAGCGGUGGAAUGCGCAGAUAUCGGGAGGAACACCAAUGGCGAAGGCACUUCUCUGGGCCGUAACUGACGCUGAGGAGCGAAAGCGUGGGGAGCGAACAGGAUUAGAUACCCUGGUAGUCCAC